UGUUAGAGCCAAGGGGCAUGGAAACACCGGGAAUAGAAACAAGUGGCUUGUGAAUAACAGGAAAACAUUCUGUAGGGUCAGUACUAAGCCCACACACCUCUUAACCAUUCAUCGACCUCGUCUGAAGUCUCGCCUGAAAGACAAUAAAGAACAAAGAUGCAACACAUAAGUGAACUAAAAAAAGGAAGAAAGCUCUGUUAGCAGGGUAGUGCUUUCCUGUUCAACACAUAGAAACUUGUAGCGACUGGAAGCAUUCAAGGCCAUUUUAUACCUCUAGUAAGUUGAUUUCCCUUGUAGUGCUUUCAAGAGUGGCAUACGGAGGUGACUCGGAGCCAGGCUGUCCUGCAAAGGAAAGAUGCUUCUGUCACACAAGAGUGGCAACAUAGCUUAGAGGUGUCCCAUCACCCUCACAGCUUUCAUGCCUAUCUGAGGUGGUCGACAUAGGUGAAGUUGGUGCUUUCGAAGGUGCCAGCACAGCCUCCGACACCACC
Long non-coding RNA from Nematostella vectensis (starlet sea anemone), 491 nucleotides. RefSeq lists it as uncharacterized. NCBI's taxonomy places the organism in Eukaryota, Metazoa, Cnidaria, Anthozoa, Actiniaria, Edwardsiidae. The transcript has 3 exons. The record is from RefSeq and is a predicted model, not a curated record.